AUUGAACGCUGGCGGCAUGCUUUACACAUGCAAGUCGAACGGCAGCGCGGGCUUCGGCCUGGCGGCGAGUGGCGAACGGGUGAGUAAUGCAUCGGAACGUGCCCAGUAGUGGGGGAUAGCCCGGCGAAAGCCGGAUUAAUACCGCAUACGACCUGAGGGUGAAAGCGGGGGACCGAAAGGCCUCGCGCUAUUGUAGCGGCCGAUGUCGGAUUAGCUAGUUGGUGGGGUAAAGGCUUACCAAGGCGACGGUCCGUAGCUGGUCUGAGAGGACGACCAGCCAGACUGGCACUGAGACACGGCCGAGACUCCGACGGGAGGCAGCAGUGGGGAAUUUUGGACAAGGGGGGAAAGCCGGAUCCUGCAAUGUCGCGGGAGGGAAGAAGGACUUAGGGUUGUAAACCGAUUUUGUUCGUGAAGAAGUACUGUGGGCUAAUCCGCCGGGGGGAUGACGGUACCGGAAGAAUAAGCACCGGCUAACUACGUG
RNAcentral lists this ribosomal RNA (484 nucleotides) under uncultured bacterium. RNAcentral describes it as "partial 16S ribosomal RNA". It matches the Rfam family "Bacterial small subunit ribosomal RNA", at positions 29 to 507 of the family's 1533-position model. The record is from RNAcentral.